Molecule: ribosomal RNA, 115 nt
Filed under: Burkholderiales bacterium
Lineage: Bacteria; Pseudomonadati; Pseudomonadota; Betaproteobacteria; Burkholderiales
Description: partial 23S ribosomal RNA
Rfam family: Bacterial large subunit ribosomal RNA
Source: RNAcentral
CGGGGCCUCGAGCCCCCUGAAGAGUCGUUCGAGACCAGGACGUUGAUAGGCCGGGUGUGGAAGCGCAGUAAUGCGUUGAGCUAACCGGUACUAAUUGCUCGUGAGGCUUGACCCU